Molecule: ribosomal RNA, 316 nt
Filed under: uncultured Oscillibacter sp.
Lineage: Bacteria; Bacillati; Bacillota; Clostridia; Eubacteriales; Oscillospiraceae
Description: bacterial SSU rRNA
Rfam family: Bacterial small subunit ribosomal RNA
Source: RNAcentral
UGGGGAAUAUUGGGCAAUGGACGCAAGUCUGACCCAGCAACGCCGCGUGAAGGAAGAAGGCUUUCGGGUUGUAAACUUCUUUGACAGGGGAAGAGCAGAAGACGGUACCCUGAAAACAAGCCACGGCUAACUACGUGCCAGCAGCCGCGGUAAUACGUAGGUGGCAAGCGUUGUCCGGAUUUACUGGGUGUAAAGGGCGUGUAGCCGGGUGUGUAAGUCAGAUGUGAAAUCUGGAGGCUCAACCUCCAAACUGCAUUUGAAACUGCGCAUCUUGAGUAUCGGAGAGGUAAUCGGAAUUCCUUGUGUAGCGGUGAAA